This 480-nucleotide ribosomal RNA is filed under the name uncultured bacterium. RNAcentral describes it as "partial 16S ribosomal RNA". It matches the Rfam family "Bacterial small subunit ribosomal RNA", at positions 28 to 523 of the family's 1533-position model. The record is from RNAcentral.
GACGAACGCUGGCGGCGUGCUUAACACAUGCAAGUCGAGCGGAAAGGCCCUUUCGGGGGUACUCGAGCGGCGAACGGGUGAGUAACACGUGAGUAAUCUGCCCCUGGCUUUGGGAUAGCCACCGGAAACGGUGAUUAAUACCGGAUACGACCACUUCUCGCAUGGGAUGGUGGUGGAAAGCUCUUCGGCCAGGGAUGUGCUCGCGGCCUAUCAGCUUGAUGGUGAGGUAAUGUCUCACCAUGGCUUCGACGGGUAGCCGGCCUGAGAGGGUGACCGGUCACACUGGGACUGAGACACGGCCCAGACUCCUACGGGAGGCAGCAGUGGGGAAUAUUGGACAAUGGGCGGAAGCCUGAUCCAGCAACGCCGCGUGAGGGAUGACGGCCUUCGGGUUGUAAACCUCUUUCAGCAGGGACGAAGCGCAAGUGACGGUACCUGCAGAAGAAGCACCGGCCGACUACGUGCCAGCCGCCGCGGUAA